This 96-nucleotide small nuclear RNA is filed under the name Chinchilla lanigera (long-tailed chinchilla). Lineage: Eukaryota; Metazoa; Chordata; Mammalia; Rodentia; Chinchillidae. The record is from RNAcentral.
AGCAGUGGCAGCAAUGCACUAAAGUUGGAACAAUAUAGAGAAAAUUAGCAUGGGCCCUGCGCUGAUGUUUAAUUUUGGGAAAUUCCAUUUUAUUUU